RNAcentral lists this transfer RNA (69 nucleotides) under Saccopteryx leptura (lesser sac-winged bat). Its description in RNAcentral is "tRNA-Phe". It matches the Rfam family "tRNA". Rfam says of the family: Transfer RNA (tRNA) molecules are approximately 80 nucleotides in length. The record is from RNAcentral. Lineage: Eukaryota; Metazoa; Chordata; Mammalia; Chiroptera; Emballonuridae.
GUUAAUGUAGCUUAAAAAAAAAAGCAAGGCACUGAAAAUGCCUAGAUGGGCUCUAUAGCCCCAUAAACA